This 730-nucleotide ribosomal RNA is filed under the name Bacillus sp. HQ-2-56-2. RNAcentral describes it as "bacterial SSU rRNA". It matches the Rfam family "Bacterial small subunit ribosomal RNA", at positions 721 to 1463 of the family's 1533-position model. Lineage: Bacteria; Bacillati; Bacillota; Bacilli; Caryophanales; Bacillaceae. The record is from RNAcentral.
GCGACUCUCUGGUCUGUAACUGACGCUGAGGAGCGAAAGCGUGGGGAGCGAACAGGAUUAGAUACCCUGGUAGUCCACGCCGUAACGAUGAGUGCUAAGUGUAGGGGGUUUCCGCCCCUUACUGCUCAGCUUACGCAUUUAGCGUCCCCCCGGGGAAUACCGUCCCAAGAGUUAAACUCAAAGGAAUUUACCGGGGCCCGACAAGCCGUGGAACAUGUGGUUUAAUUCCAACCACGCCAAAAACCUACCAAGUCUUACCUCCUCUGACAACCCUAUAGAUAGGGCUUUCCCUUCGGGGACAGAGUGACAGGUGGUGCAUGGUUGUCUUCACCUCGUGUCGUGAAAUGUUGGGUUAAUUCCCGCAACGAGCGCAACCCUUGAUCUUAUUUGCCAGCAUUCCGUUGGGCGCUCUAAAGUGACUGCCGGUGACAAGCCGGAGGAAGGUGGGGAUGACGGACAAUCAUCAUGCCCCUUAUCCACCUGGGCUACGCGCUUGCUACAAUGGACAUAGACCAGGGCUGCGAGACCGAUAGGUUUACGUAUCCCACAUAUCUGUUCUCCGUUCUGAUCUCAGACUGCAACUCGACUGCGUGAACCUUGAAUCGCUAGUAAUCGCGGAUCACCGAGCCGCGGUGAAUACGUUCCCGGGCCUUGUACACACCGCCCGUCGACCAUGAGAGUUUGCAACUCCCGACUCCCUAAGGUACCUUUUGGACCAGUCGCAGAAGUG